UUUUGAUUAAUGUCUCAAAUUAAUCAUCUUCAUUUCAUUUCACUCCAUAAUAUCACAUUUCAUUUCACUCCAUAAUAUCAUUUUUCAUAAAAAUAUGAAUAUAAAUUAAAAUAAGACAUGACUUAAAGGUCUCAGUUACCAGGUCAUAAAAUCCAUUACAAAUAGGAAUAAUUCCAGCGCACCCUGGCGGCCGUAGAUUACCAUUCUCGAAUAUUUAUAGUCUGUGGCAUGUCACUUUUUACAUCGAAAAAAGUCAGGAUCGAAAUUUUUGAGCGAGCCAUAGUUUGUGAACAUGCUGUUUUAUUCGUGUUUACAAUAAUCAACUCUUCCCGACAUCUAUUGGCGAAUAAUAAUACUAUUUUUCUUAAUUGAGGGCAACUAACCGCUUUAAAGACACAACAAGAUGGCGCUAUCAAAAAAAUCAAUCAUCACAGAUGACCACAGAUCAUAGAAACACAGUGUGGUCAUCAUCUAGUAUUCUAUAAGUUUACUAUAUAUUUUGACCAUUUUACUGUAAUGUUUUUAAGAAAUAUACGAAUAAUUAUUCGAUGAGAAUGUA
Long non-coding RNA from Bombyx mori (domestic silkworm), 559 nucleotides. RefSeq lists it as uncharacterized. The record is from RefSeq and is a predicted model, not a curated record. The transcript is spliced from 2 exons. Lineage: Eukaryota; Metazoa; Arthropoda; Insecta; Lepidoptera; Bombycidae.